ACAAAGACCCUGCAAUUCUUCUAUCUGUUUUCCAUUGGACAGUAUUGAUCUCCCAAGAUUAAAAUCUUUGUUUUCCGCAAUUGAUUAGUCUUACCAUUUGAUAACUGAUAAUCACUUUUCUUUUCAACAAUUAUUUGUUUUUCUUUCGGCUUAGAGUUAAGCACCGAAAACAGAUGUGUAAUGGAGAUAGGUUAUUUCUUUUACCAAGUUUAUGUGAGAAGAGAAAAAAGCCAGCCAAGUCAUUUUAUCAUGUUUAGCUAGUAAUACAAAAUUGUCAGCAGCCUCUUAGCCGUCAUGUUAGUGUUACAUGUAUGCUGAAAAGGAAAAACAGAAAAUG
This 337-nucleotide long non-coding RNA is filed under the name Nicotiana benthamiana. Its description in RNAcentral is "long non-coding RNA (NBEN_LNC002073)". Lineage: Eukaryota; Viridiplantae; Streptophyta; Magnoliopsida; Solanales; Solanaceae. The record is from RNAcentral.